GGACGAACGCUGGCGGCGUGCCUAACACAUGCAAGUCGAGCGGAGUCAGUAAGAGGAAGUUUCGGAUGGAAUCUUAUGAUUAGCGGCGGACGGGUGAGUAACGCGUGAGCGACCAACCUUGCACAGGGGGAUAACGGACCGAAAGGUUCACUAAUACCGCAUGAGACCACGGUGUUGCAUGACACAGGGGUCAAAGGAGCAAUCCGGUGCAAGACGGGCUCGCGUCCGAUUAGGUAGUUGAGGGGUAACGGCCCACCAAGCCUAUGAUCGGUAGCCGACCUGAGAGGGUGAUCGGCCACAUUGGAACUGAGAUACGGUCCAAACUCCUACGGGAGGCAGCAGUGGGGAAUAUUGGGCAAAAUGGGGGAAACCCUGACCCAGCAACGCCGCGUGAAGGAAGAAGGUUUUCGGAUUGUAAACUUCUGUCCUUGGUGAAGAGAAGAAGACGGUAGCCAAGGAGGAAGCCCCGGCUAACUACGUGCCAGCAGCCGC
RNAcentral lists this ribosomal RNA (492 nucleotides) under uncultured bacterium. RNAcentral's name for it is "bacterial SSU rRNA". It matches the Rfam family "Bacterial small subunit ribosomal RNA", at positions 27 to 518 of the family's 1533-position model. The record is from RNAcentral.